Molecule: ribosomal RNA, 256 nt
Filed under: uncultured bacterium
Lineage: Bacteria
Description: partial 16S ribosomal RNA
Rfam family: Bacterial small subunit ribosomal RNA
Source: RNAcentral
UAACACGUAGGGGGCGAGCGUUGUUCGGAAUCAUUGGGCGUAAAGGGUGCGCAGGCGGCCGUCCAAGUCUGGUGUGAAAUACCCCGGCCCAACCGGGGGGACGCGCUGGAAACUGGAUGGCUUGAGUACAGGAGGGGGAGUCGGAAUUCCAGGUGUAGGGGUGAAAUCUGUAGAUAUCUGGAAGAACACCGGUGGCGAAGGCGGACUCCUGGCCAUGUACUGACGCUGAGGCACGAAGGCGUGGGGAGCAAACAGG